CGCAGCAACGCGCGUGAGCGAAGAAGGCCUUCGGGUUGUAAAGCUCUGGUCAGGGGGAAAGAAGGCACCUGGGUUAAUAGCCCAAGGGCUGACGGUACCUCCAAAGGAAGCCACGGCUAACUACGUGCCAGCAGCCGCGGUAAUACGUAGGUGGCGAGCGUUGUCCGGAAUCAUUGGGCGUAAAGAGCGCGUAGGUGGCUUGUUAGGUCUGAUGUGAAAACCUGGGGCUCAACCCCAGGCCUGCAUCAGAAACCGGCUUGCUAGAGUCUGGGAGAGGAGAGUGGAAUUCCUGGUGUAGCGGUGAAAUGCGUAGAUAUCAGGAGGAACACCGGUAGCGAAGGCGGCUCUCUGGAACAGUACUGACGCUGAGGCGCGAAAGCUAGGGGAGCGAACAGGAUUAGAUACCCUGGUAGUCCUAGCCGUAAACGAUGGACACUAGGUGUCGGGGGUGUCGACUCCCCCGGUGCCGAAGCUAACGCAUUAAGUGUCCCGCCUGGGGAGUACGGCCGCAAGGCUA
Molecule: ribosomal RNA, 517 nt
Filed under: uncultured bacterium
Lineage: Bacteria
Description: bacterial SSU rRNA
Rfam family: Bacterial small subunit ribosomal RNA
Source: RNAcentral